This 74-nucleotide transfer RNA is filed under the name Caulobacteraceae bacterium. RNAcentral describes it as "tRNA-Met". It matches the Rfam family "tRNA". Rfam says of the family: Transfer RNA (tRNA) molecules are approximately 80 nucleotides in length. Their secondary structure includes four short double-helical elements and three loops (D, anti-codon, and T loops). The record is from RNAcentral. Lineage: Bacteria; Pseudomonadati; Pseudomonadota; Alphaproteobacteria; Caulobacterales; Caulobacteraceae.
AGCAGGGUAGUGGAGAGGUGCCACGCUAGCUUCAUGCGCUAGAGACCCGGGUUCGAGUCCCGGCCCUGCAACCA